RNAcentral lists this ribosomal RNA (601 nucleotides) under uncultured Gammaproteobacteria bacterium. RNAcentral describes it as "bacterial SSU rRNA". It matches the Rfam family "Bacterial small subunit ribosomal RNA", at positions 325 to 918 of the family's 1533-position model. Lineage: Bacteria; Pseudomonadati; Pseudomonadota; Gammaproteobacteria. The record is from RNAcentral.
CGAAUUCGCCCUUCCUACGGGAGGCAGCAGUGGGGAAUAUUGGACAAUGGGGGAAACCCUGAUCCAGCGACGCCGCGUGUGUGAAGAAGGCCUGCGGGUUGUAAAGCACUUUUAGUGGGGAUGAAAAGCUCAGGGCUAAUACCCCUGGGUCUUGACCUAACCCACAGAAAAAGCACCGGCUAACUCUGUGCCAGCAGCCGCGGUAAUACAGAGGGUGCAAGCGUUAAUCGGAAUUACUGGGCGUAAAGCGUGCGUAGACGGUCAUGUAAGUCGGGUGUGAAAGCCCCGGGCUCAACCUGGGAAUUGCAUUCGAGACUGCAUGGCUAGGGUGCGGAAGAGGGAAGCGGAAUUUCCGGUGUAGCGGUGAAAUGCGUAGAUAUCGGAAGGAACACCAGUGGCGAAAGCGGCUUCCUGGUCCAGCACCGACGUUCAGGCACGAAAGCGUGGGGAGCAAACAGGAUUAGAUACCCUGGUAGUCCACGCCAUAAACGAUGAGAACUAGACGUUGAAGGGGUAAGCCCUGCAGUGUCGUAGCUAACGCGCUAAGUUCUCCGCCUGGGGAGUACGGCCGCAAGGCUAAAACUCAAAGGAAUUGACGGAA